RNAcentral lists this long non-coding RNA (263 nucleotides) under Elaeis guineensis (African oil palm). Its description in RNAcentral is "long non-coding RNA (EGUI_LNC002952)". Lineage: Eukaryota; Viridiplantae; Streptophyta; Magnoliopsida; Arecales; Arecaceae. The record is from RNAcentral.
UAACAAACCCCCCCUUCGCUCCUAGAUGAGGAGGGGCCUGCUUCGGACCUCGCUAACCUACUCGAUGUCGUAGGAGAUGGUGGCAGUAGGGCAAGACAAGAUGGAGACAAUGUCUACCUAUCUGUCGUUGGAGGAUGCAAGGUCUAACUAGCUGGUGUGGAUGGAGUCUGAGCUGACUCUAGAGUCAUUAGUGCGGCAAAUCGCAACAACACAACACCAUUGGUUCAUCCUUAAUCUUCACAGGAUCGGUGCUCCACAUUCCC